Paramuricea clavata is the source of this 320-nucleotide non-coding RNA. NCBI's taxonomy places the organism in Eukaryota, Metazoa, Cnidaria, Anthozoa, Malacalcyonacea, Plexauridae. The record is from the annotation of a GenBank genome assembly.
AUUCAAUGAUAAAUUGUCUUCGUGUUGGUCAUAACCACGUGAAAGAGAUAAAGAAAACAUCAACGUUUCGAGCGAAGACUUCUUGUCUGGACGUUAAUGGCCAUGUAGAGAAGACGCUUGUAGGGGCUUCAAAGCGUUGAAGUUUUUUUCAGAUGUUUUUCAGGACGUCAUGACUAAAACAAACUAGUUUAUCUGGUACAUAGUUAGCAACAUUCCAUACCUUUUAGGACCCUUUAGCAAUCCGAUCAUAAAAACUGAAUCAACACGAUUAUUCCCAUUAAUUUCACCGUUAUAAAACGCUGAAAAUGACUAAGGUAGCU